UACGUAGGUGGCAAGCGUUGUCCGGAAUUAUUGGGCGUAAAGCGCGCGCAGGCGGUCCUUUAAGUCUGAUGUGAAAGCCCACGGCUCAACCGUGGAGGGUCAUUGGAAACUGGGGGACUUGAGUACAGAAGAGAAGAGUGGAAUUCCACGUGUAGCGGUGAAAUGCGUAGAGAUGUGGAGGAACACCAGUGGCGAAGGCGACUCUUUGGUCUGUAACUGACGCUGAGGCGCGAAAGCGUGGUGAUCAAACAGG
This 253-nucleotide ribosomal RNA is filed under the name uncultured bacterium. RNAcentral describes it as "partial 16S ribosomal RNA". It matches the Rfam family "Bacterial small subunit ribosomal RNA", at positions 524 to 776 of the family's 1533-position model. The record is from RNAcentral.